ACUUUGGCCACCUCAUGUGAAGAGUUGACUCAUUGGAAAAGACCCUGAUGCUGGGAGGGAUUGGGGGCAGGCGGAGAAGGGGACGACGGAGGAUGAGAUGGCUGGAUGGCAUCACCAACUCGAUGGACAGACGUAAAUGGGUAAAUAGACGGGGGAACUUACACAUCUGACACAAGGCCCUGGAGUGACACCCUACCGUGUGCAACAGACAGAGGAAUAUUGGCAGAAGUAAACAAGAAGGCCUGAGGAAAUUUGCAUACUUCAUUAUGCGAAUUUGAGCUGAAGCCCAGCUCCUCUCACGUUGGCAGUAGAGGAACAUGUCCUGCUUGCAAGAUCAGGUGAGGUCUGUAAAGGUGCAUUUUGCCCUUGGAGAUUUCCUCAUCUCCAGCGCUUGCUACCAUGGCAGCCUCAGGGGAGUGUGGCUUCCUCUUUGCUUUUCACAUCUGCAUUCCUGCAAUGUAACUCCCAUCCCAGAAUAUGGGAUCUGGGUUAGCUCAGACUCUGCAGGCUAGGGGCACAGUCUCCGAUGAGACUGCCUUUGUACCACAAGCAAGCCACAGAUUUGCAUUGGGAUGGGGGUGGAGGCGGUCCUCAAGCCACCCAGAUUUCUGAAUAACCAGCUAGGUAUUUGGGGGAUCCCAUUACCCGCUCAGGUUGAUAAUUCACUAGAGUGACUCAGAACUCAGGCAAGUACUAGACUUAACGAUUUCAAUUUUAUUAUAAAGGAUACAAAUCAGGCGGCAUUAGUGGUAAAGAACCUGCCUGCCAAUGUAGGAGACAUAUAAGAGAUGCAGGUUCAAUUCCUGGGUUUGGAAUAUUCCUUGGAGGAGGGCAUGGCAACCCACUCCAGUAUUCUUGCCUGGAGAAUCCCAUGGACAGAGGAGCCUGACCGGCUACAGUCCAUGGGGUUGCAAAGAGUUAGACAGGACUGAAGUGACUUAGCGUGCACACACACAAAAAUCAGGACCAGCCAACUGAAAAGGCACAUAGGGAAAAGUCCAGGAGGGUCCCACACUAGGAGCUCCUGUUUCCUUUCCAGAGUACAUCGCCCACCCAGCACAUGUAUGUGUUCACUAGACAGGACUUCACUCGAGCCUCAGUGUCCUGAGUUUUUCUUGGGGUUUCAUUACACAGGCUUGAUAAAUGGAAUCACAAGCCACAUAAUUAACUCAAUCUUUCAGCCCCCCCAACCCCUCUGAACCAAUAUCACCUGACUCAAGCCCCAGCUCUGUAAUCACACAGUUGGUCUCUCUGGCUUGGCCAGAAGCUGAAGCUCUUGGCCAGCCUGAAGCUCUAUAGGGCCAAUCAGAAGUCACCUCAUCAGCAUGAACUCAGGUGUGGCCCCAGUGCCCCCUGCAAAUAACAAAGAUACUCCAAUCAGUCAGGAAAUGCCAAGAGUUUAGAAACAGCAUUCCAGGAGUCCAGGACAAAGACCAGAUAAAUUAUUAUACAAUGAUAUCCUAUAACAUGGUUGUCACAGGCUGAAACAUUUACUUUGGGCCUGACUAAAGGCGAGCAGUGGGAUGGUUAGGAUUUUCCUUGGGUCCCUACCUACCAUGAUUUCAGUGACGACAUAGAGUGCUAUGCAUGGUUUGGGGAGGAUAUUCUGAGGCCACAUCCAGGAUCAACUGGAAGGAGUGAUACGAUUAAGUGGUAUGAUUCCACACAAGUCGUGUGGAAUUCCCAGGUGGCUCAGUGGUAAAGAUCCUCCUGCCAGUGCAGGAGAUGCAGGAGACCCGGGUUUGAUCCCUGCAUCGUGGAAGAUCCUCUGGAGGAGGAAAUGGCAACCCACUCCAGUAUUCUUGCCUGGGAAAUCCCACGGACAGAGGAGCCUGGCAGGCUAUGGUCCAUGGGGUCACAAAGAGUCAACUUAGUGACUGAGCACGCAUGCAUGCAUGCCAACUUUGGCAUAGAAGAGGAUUGAAAGGGGAAGGCGAGAUCAUACAGGUACUUGCUAGGGAUAAAGGGAUAAAAAUUUUAAAAGGGAAUAGUGAAACUGAAGUCGCUCAGUCGUGUCCAACUCUUUGCAACCCAAAAGCCCCAAUAGGGAAUAACCUCAGAGUAAUAAAAAUGAUAAUACUGUUUGCAAAGACUGCUUGUUAGAACACACAAAUCCAAUCCCACUUUGGCUCCCAUCCUAAGGCCAAGUAGCGGGUACCAUGUUUAACUUGUACCACCCAGGAGGUCAUAUCUUUUAAUUUCUCCUCCUUAAAAUCUAGCCUUAUGAGAGAGAGACUCAGAGAGAGAUGGAAGUGCCUCUCCUUCCCACCAGAUUCUGGUUUCCAAGUUAAGGAAUCACUUCUACACCCAAACAGCUCUCCUAGUGGAUGUGAGUCCUCUUAAGGAAUAUCAUAUCAACCUACUCUGGGCUGAUAUGCACUAGUUGCCAUACAAAUUGUUAAGUGAAUCAAACACUUCAUAGUACUAGUACUAAAUCACUUCAGUUCUGUCCGACUCCUUGUGACUCUAUGGACCAUAGCCCUCUAGGCUCCUAUGUCCAUGGGAUUCUCCAGUCAAGAAUACCAGAUUGGGUUGCCAUUUCCUCCUCCAUGGGAUCUUCCCGACCCUGGGAUCAAACCUGUGUCUCUUACAUCCAUCUACUGCACUGGCAAGUGGGUUCUUUACCAUUAGCACCAUCUGGGAAAAGCCCCAAACAUUUCUUACAGGUUGGUUAAAAAAUUGCUGCUUCCUAUUUCUAGAAUGUGCUUCUACUAUUAUUUUAUAGCCCUUCCACUAGACCAGGAAGGCUACCUACAAUAAUUUCCAGAGCCCUGUGCAAAGUAAAAAUGCAAGGCUCCUUGUUUAAAAAUUAUUGAAGGUUUGAAGACAGAGUCACCUGAGUAUUAAAGCAAGCAUAGGACUCUUCUGAGCACACGCCAGUCUAUGAGGCUGCACAAGUCACAUGACCACGAAACCAGCCCUGUCUGGGACCCCUCCACACUGCCUCACAAUCUCAGGAAAGAACUGAUCCUGGCACAUCUGGCACCUCCAGGAUCUUGUCCAGCUCCACAGCCAGCAUCCUUCUGAUGAACUGUAGUUGGCAGAAUACGUCUCCUGCCUCCCGCCUUGCCACCAAUGCAGGAGGAGCAGGGAGUGUGAGCAAGAAAUAAAUCUGUUUUAAGAUACUGAUGGAAGGUUGAUUGUUACUACAACAUAAAAUGGUGCAUCUUUUUUUUUUUUAAUUCUGGCUGUGCUGGGUCUUCAUUGCUGCACAGGCUUUUCCUAGUUGUGGAGAGGGAGGCUACUCUCUAGUUGCAGUGCGUGGGCUUCUCAUUAGGGCAUCUCCUCUUGUGGAGCAUGGGCCCCAGGGUGUGUGGGCUUCUGUAGUUGCAGACAUGAGCUCAGUAGUUACUGUUCUGUAGAGCAAGGGCUCAGUAGUUGUGGAGCAGGGGCUCAGUUGCCCCAAGGCAUGUGGGAUCUUCCUCGACCAGGGAUCGAAACGGCGUCCCAUGUAUUGCAAGAUGAAUUCUUAACCACUGGACCACCAGGGAAGCCCGCAACCUGGUGCAUCCUGACAAAUACAUACCAAUGCUGGAUGUUCAGUCUAAUCAUGUCCAACUCUUUGCAACCAUAUGGACUGUGGCUCACCAGGCUCCUCUGUGAAAUUCCCAACUCAGGGAUCAAACCUGAGUUUCAUGUGUUUCCUGCAUUGGCAGGCAGAUUCUGUACCACUGAGCCACCUGGGAAGACCAAUAUGUAUCGAUAUUCUAUAAAGUCUUACAUAUUUUGACAGUCAUCCUGCCCAUGUGGGUGUCUCCUUGAUGCCCAAACAGGACAAGCCUGCUUGUUUUCCUUGAAGGAACAUGACUUGACUCUAUUAUCAGAAACUCCAAAUUACACAGGGCACAACUAUAUCACCCAAUGCUAUUUUUAGCAUGUGAACUUUUCCAGAAAACCAAGGCAGGUGCUUUGUAUCAAUGUUCUGACAAAAGAGUAAAAUGUACAUUUAUAAACUCAUCA
Bos taurus (domestic cattle) is the source of this 3960-nucleotide long non-coding RNA. The record is from Ensembl. Lineage: Eukaryota; Metazoa; Chordata; Mammalia; Artiodactyla; Bovidae.